RNAcentral lists this transfer RNA (86 nucleotides) under Boldia erythrosiphon. RNAcentral's name for it is "tRNA-Ser". It matches the Rfam family "tRNA". Rfam says of the family: Transfer RNA (tRNA) molecules are approximately 80 nucleotides in length. Their secondary structure includes four short double-helical elements and three loops (D, anti-codon, and T loops). Further hydrogen bonds mediate the characteristic L-shaped molecular structure. tRNAs have two regions of fundamental functional importance: the anti-codon, which is responsible for specific mRNA codon recognition, and the 3' end, to which the tRNAs corresponding amino acid is attached (by aminoacyl-tRNA synthetases). tRNAs cope with the degeneracy of the genetic code in two manners: having more than one tRNA (with a specific anti-codon) for a particular amino acid; and 'wobble' base-pairing, i.e. permitting non-standard base-pairing at the 3rd anti-codon position. The record is from RNAcentral. Lineage: Eukaryota; Rhodophyta; Compsopogonophyceae; Compsopogonales; Boldiaceae.
GGAGAGAUGGCUGAGUGGUUGAAGGCAUAGCACUGGAAAUGCUAUUUAGAAUAUACUUAACGAGGGUUCGAAUCCCUCUCUCUCCU